GUAGGGUGCAAGCGUUGUCCGGAAUUACUGGGCGUAAAGAGUUCGUAGGCGGUUUGUCGCGUCGUUUGUGAAAACCAGCAGCUCAACUGCUGGCUUGCAGGCGAUACGGGCAGACUUGAGUACUGCAGGGGAGACUGAAAUUCCUGGUGUAGCGGUGAAAUGCGCAGAUAUCAGGAGGAACACCGGUGGCGAAGGCGGGUCUCUGGGCAGAAACUGACGCUGAGGAACGAANGCGUGGGUAGCAAACAGGAUUNGAUACCCUGGUAGUCCACGCCGUAAACGAUGNAUACUAGGUGUCGGGGAGCAUGGCUCUUCGGUGCCGUCGCAAACGCAGUANGUAUUCCACCUGGGGAGU
Molecule: ribosomal RNA, 355 nt
Filed under: uncultured bacterium
Lineage: Bacteria
Description: bacterial SSU rRNA
Rfam family: Bacterial small subunit ribosomal RNA
Source: RNAcentral